Molecule: non-coding RNA, 103 nt
Filed under: Palpitomonas bilix
Lineage: Eukaryota
Source: RNAcentral
UUUUGAGAUCUCUUGCGAAAAAAAGAAGAGGAUGCUUGCGGUUGUCUUUGGUCGAGAAAAAUAAAGAAAUUGAUCGAAUAUAUCAUCGAAAUAUAUAUAUUGU